This 155-nucleotide ribosomal RNA is filed under the name Byssonectria terrestris. Its description in RNAcentral is "5.8S ribosomal RNA". It matches the Rfam family "5.8S ribosomal RNA". Rfam says of the family: 5.8S ribosomal RNA (5.8S rRNA) is a component of the large subunit of the eukaryotic ribosome. It is transcribed by RNA polymerase I as part of the 45S precursor that also contains 18S and 28S rRNA. Lineage: Eukaryota; Fungi; Ascomycota; Pezizomycetes; Pezizales; Pyronemataceae. The record is from RNAcentral.
AAACUUUCAACAACGGAUCUCUUGGUUCUCGCAUCGAUGAAGAACGCAGCGAAAUGCGAUAAGUAGUGUGAAUUGCAGAAACUAGUGAAUCAUUGAAUCUUUGAACGCACAUUGCGCCUCCUGGUAUUCCGGGAGGCAUGCCUGUUCGAGCGUCA